CCUACGGGUGGCAGCAGUGGGGAAUAUUGCACAAUGGGGGAAACCCUGAUGCAGCGACGCCGCGUGAGUGAAGAAGUAUCUCGGUACGUAAAGCUCUAUCAGCAGGGAAGAAAAUGACGGUACCUGACUAAGAAGCCCCGGCUAACUACGUGCCAGCAGCCGCGGUAAUACGUAGGGGGCAAGCGUUAUCCGGAUUUACUGGGUGUAAAGGGAGCGUAGACGGCAGCACAAGUCUGGAGUGAAAUCCCGGGGCUUAACCCCGGAACUGCUCUGGAAACUGUGUAACUGGAGUGCAGGAGAGGCAGGCGGAAUUCCUAGUGUAGCGGUGAAAUGCGUAGAUAGUAGGAGGAACACCAGUGGCGAAGGCGGCCUGCUGGACUGUAACUGACGUUGAGGCUCGAAAGCGUGGGGAGCAAACAGGAUUAGAUACCCCAGUAGUC
Molecule: ribosomal RNA, 440 nt
Filed under: uncultured bacterium
Lineage: Bacteria
Description: partial 16S ribosomal RNA
Rfam family: Bacterial small subunit ribosomal RNA
Source: RNAcentral